RNAcentral lists this ribosomal RNA (502 nucleotides) under uncultured bacterium. Its description in RNAcentral is "partial 16S ribosomal RNA". It matches the Rfam family "Bacterial small subunit ribosomal RNA", at positions 30 to 523 of the family's 1533-position model. The record is from RNAcentral.
AUCGAACGCUGGCGGCAUGCUUUACACAUGCAAGUCGAACGGCAGCAUGGGUGCUUGCACCUGAUGGCGAGUGGCGAACGGGUGAGUAAUAUAUCGGAACAUGUCCGGAAGUGGGGGAUAACGUAGCGAAAGUUACGCUAAUACCGCAUAUGCCCUGAGGGGGAAAGGAGGGGAUCGAAAGACCUUUCGCUUUCGGAGUGGCCGAUAUCAGAUUAGCUAGUUGGUGAGGUAAAGGCUCACCAAGGCGACGAUCUGUAGCGGGUCUGAGAGGAUGAUCCGCCACAAUGGGACUGAGACACGGCCCAGACUCCUACGGGAGGCGGCAGUGGGGAAUUUUGGACAAUGGGGGCAACCCUGAUCCAGCCAUGCCGCGUGAGUGAAGAAGGCCUUCGGGUUGUAAAGCUCUUUCGGACAGAAAGAAAUCGUGCAGUCUAAUACACUGCAUGGAUGACGGUACUGUAAGAAGAAGCACCGGCUAACUACGUGCCAGCCGCCGCCGUAA